This 366-nucleotide ribosomal RNA is filed under the name uncultured haloarchaeon. RNAcentral's name for it is "bacterial SSU rRNA". It matches the Rfam family "Archaeal small subunit ribosomal RNA", at positions 1 to 370 of the family's 1478-position model. Lineage: Archaea; Methanobacteriati; Methanobacteriota; Halobacteria; Halobacteriales; Halobacteriaceae. The record is from RNAcentral.
AUUCCGGUUGAUCCUGGUGGAGGAUAUUGCUAUUGGAAUUCGAUUUAGCCAUGCUAGUCGAGUGAGUUCAGAUUUGCGGCGAAUAGCUCAGCAACACGUGGCCAAGGUGCCCUUCAGUCAGGGAUACCCUCGCGAAACUGAGGUUAACAGGCUGAUACAAAACGCCAGCUGGAAUGCCGCGUUUCAGAAAGACAUCGCUGAAGGAUGCGGCUGCGGCCGAUUAGGUAGACGGUGGGGUAACGGCCCACCGUGCCAGUAAUCGGUACGGGUGAUGAGAGUCAGAGCCCGGAGACGCAAUCUGACACAAGAUUCCGGGCCCUAUGGGGGGCAGCAGGGGCGAAACCUUUACACUGCACGCAACUGCGA